UGCGUAGGUGGCGCGCUAAGUCAGGUGUGAAAUUUCGGAGCUUAACUCCGAAACUGCAUUUGAUACUGGCGUGCUUGAGGACUGGAGAGGAGACUGGAAUUCAUGGUGUAGCAGUGAAAUGCGUAGAGAUCAUGAGGAAGACCAGUGGCGAAGGCGGGUCUCUGGACAGUUCCUGACACUGAGACACGAAGGCCAGGGGAGCAAAC
RNAcentral lists this ribosomal RNA (206 nucleotides) under uncultured bacterium. RNAcentral describes it as "partial 16S ribosomal RNA". It matches the Rfam family "Bacterial small subunit ribosomal RNA", at positions 568 to 773 of the family's 1533-position model. The record is from RNAcentral.